GACGAACGCUGGCGGCGUGCCUAAUACAUGCAAGUAGAACGCUGAAGGAGGAGCUUGCUCUUCUGGAUGAGUUGCGAACGGGUGAGUAACGCGUAGGUAACCUGCCUGGUAGCGGGGGAUAACUAUUGGAAACGAUAGCUAAUACCGCAUAAGAGUAGAUGUUGCAUGACAUUUACUUAAAAGGUGCAAUUGCAUCACUACCAGAUGGACCUGCGUUGUAUUAGCUAGUUGGUGGGGUAACGGCUCACCAAGGCGACGAUACAUAGCCGACCUGAGAGGGUGAUCGGCCACACUGGGACUGAGACACGGCCCAGACUCCUACGGGAGGCAGCAGUAGGGAAUCUUCGGCAAUGGACGGAAGUCUGACCGAGCAACGCCGCGUGAGUGAAGAAGGUUUUCGGAUCGUAAAGCUCUGUUGUAAGAGAAGAACGAGUGUGAGAGUGGAAAGUUCACACUGUGACGGUAUCUUACCAGAAAGGGACGGCUAACUACGUGCCAGCAGCCGCGGUAAUACGUAGGUCCCGAGCGUUGUCCGGAUUUAUUGGGCGUAAAGCGAGCGCAGGCGGUUAGAUAAGUCUGAAGUUAAAGGCUGUGGCUUAACCAUAGUACGCUUUGGAAACUGUUUAACUUGAGUGCAAGAGGGGAGAGUGGAAUUCCAUGUGUAGCGGUGAAAUGCGUAGAUAUAUGGAGGAACACCGGUGGCGAAAGCGGCUCUCUGGCUUGUAACUGACGCUGAGGCUCGAAAGCGUGGGGAGCAAACAGG
This 763-nucleotide ribosomal RNA is filed under the name uncultured Streptococcus sp. Its description in RNAcentral is "bacterial SSU rRNA". It matches the Rfam family "Bacterial small subunit ribosomal RNA", at positions 28 to 776 of the family's 1533-position model. Lineage: Bacteria; Bacillati; Bacillota; Bacilli; Lactobacillales; Streptococcaceae. The record is from RNAcentral.